AAGGGUGAGUAAUGCGAAGGUAACCAACCCUGGAGUUGGGCAUAGCCGCGGGAAACUGCGGGUAAUUCCCAGCGAUGUCGCGAGAUGGCAUCAUCUUGCGACCAAAGGUGUGAUUCCGCUCUAGGACGGGCCUUCGUGGUAUUAGGUAGUUGGUGAGGUAACGGCUCACCAAGCCGACGAUGCCUACCGGGUGUGAGAGCAUGACCCGGCACACUGGAACUGAGACACUGUCCAGACACCUACGGGUGGCUGCAGUCGAGAAUCUUCGGCAAUGGGCGAAAGCCUGACCGAGCGACGCCGCGUGAGGGAAGAAGGCCUUCGGGUUGUAAACCUCUUUCGUAGAGGAGGAAGGGGCCGUGCAGAGCGGUCUUUGACCUAUUCUAGGAAGAAGCUUGGGCUAAGUUCGUGCCAGCAGCCGCGGUAAGACGAACCAAGCGAACGUUAUUCGGAAUUACUGGGCUUAAAGCGCGUGUAGGCGGAUGACCACGUCAGUCGUUGAAAUCCCCCGGCUCAACCGGGGAACAGGCGCUGAUACGAGUUGUCUGGAGGUGGGUAGGGGAGACUGGAACUUCCGGUGGAGCGGUGAAAUGCGUU
This 594-nucleotide ribosomal RNA is filed under the name uncultured bacterium. RNAcentral's name for it is "bacterial SSU rRNA". It matches the Rfam family "Bacterial small subunit ribosomal RNA", at positions 102 to 692 of the family's 1533-position model. The record is from RNAcentral.